AUGGCGUCCGCCAUAUCUGCGGGGCCCACGCCGCCGGCCGCGGCGCCGUCGUCGGUGGAGUGGCACCAGCGGCCGCCGAACCCGAAGAACCCGGUGGUGUUCUUCGACGUGACCAUCGGGUCCAUCCCGGCCGGCCGCAUCAAGAUGGAGCUCUUCGCCGACGUCGUCCCCAAGACCGCCGAGAACUUCAGGCAGUUCUGCACUGGCGAGUACAGGAAGUCAGCUAUUCCACAGGGGUAUAAGGGUUGUCAGUUCCAUCGAGUGAUCAAAGAUUUCAUGAUUCAGGGAGGUGACUUCGUAAAGGGUGAUGGUAGUGGAUGCAUAUCAAUAUAUGGUACCAAAUUUGAUGAUGAAAAUUUCAUUGCGAAGCAUACUGGCCCUGGCCUGCUCUCCAUGGCGAACAGUGGAGCUAACUCUAAUGGAUCUCAGUUCUUUUUAACUUGUGCAAAGUGUGAAUGGCUGGACAACAAGCACGUGGUUUUCGGGAGGGUGCUGGGAGAUGGUCUGCUUGUGUUGCGGAAGAUUGAAAACGUAGCGACUGGACCAAACAACCGGCCAAAGCUUGCCUGUGUGAUUAGCGAGUGUGGCGAGAUGUAA
This 597-nucleotide ribosomal RNA is filed under the name Triticum aestivum (bread wheat). RNAcentral describes it as "partial small subunit ribosomal RNA". The record is from RNAcentral. Lineage: Eukaryota; Viridiplantae; Streptophyta; Magnoliopsida; Poales; Poaceae.